RNAcentral lists this ribosomal RNA (253 nucleotides) under uncultured bacterium. RNAcentral's name for it is "partial 16S ribosomal RNA". It matches the Rfam family "Bacterial small subunit ribosomal RNA", at positions 524 to 776 of the family's 1533-position model. The record is from RNAcentral.
UACGUAGGUGGCAAGCGUUGUCCGGAUUUACUGGGCGUAAAGAGCGCGCAGGCGGUCGUCCAAGUCGCGUGUGAAAGCCCCCGGCUCAACUGGGGAGGGUCACGCGAUACUGGUCGACUCGAAGGCAGGAGAGGGUAGUGGAAUUCCCGGUGUAGUGGUGAAAUGCGUAGAUAUCGGGAGGAACACCAGUGGCGAAGGCGACUACCUGGUCUGUUCUUGACGCUGAGGCGCGAAAGCUAGGGGAGCAAGCGGG